UCACACACAAUGUGAGUCAGCACUCCCCA
This 29-nucleotide non-coding RNA is filed under the name Rattus norvegicus (Norway rat). The record is from RNAcentral. Lineage: Eukaryota; Metazoa; Chordata; Mammalia; Rodentia; Muridae.